RNAcentral lists this ribosomal RNA (371 nucleotides) under uncultured bacterium. RNAcentral describes it as "bacterial SSU rRNA". It matches the Rfam family "Bacterial small subunit ribosomal RNA", at positions 527 to 896 of the family's 1533-position model. The record is from RNAcentral.
AGAGGUGGCAAGCGUUGUUCGGAUUUAUUGGGUGUAAAGGGCAGGUAGGCGGUCAAGUAAGUCUGUUGUGAAAUCCCGGGGCUCAACCCCGGAACUGCAACGGAAACUACUUGGCUGGAGCAAUGUAGGGGUGAGGGGAAUUCUCGGUGUAAGGGUGAAAUCUGUAGAUAUCGAGAGGAACACCAAUGGCGAAGGCACCUCACUGGACAUUUGCUGACGCUGAGCUGCGAAAGUAGGGGGAGCAAACAGGAUUAGAUACCCUGGUAGUCCCUACCGUAAACGAUGUAGAUUAGGUGUCGGAGGAGUCGAACCCUUCGGUGCCGCAGUUAACACAUUAAAUCUACCACCUGGGGAGUACGGUCGCAAGACUG